GAUUGCAAGUGGGUCUACAAAAUAAAAAGGAAAGCUGAUGGAGAGAUUGACAGAUACAAAGCACGACUGGUUGCAAAAGGAUUCAAACAAAGAUAUGGGAUUGAUUAUGAAGACACAUUUAGUCUAGUUGUGAAAGCAGCAACAAUUCGAUUGAUUCUUGCGGUAGCUGUGUCCAACAAUUGGAGUCUUCGUCAACUAGAUGUGAAGAACGCGUUUCUCCAAGGUGUUCUAGAAGAGACUGUGUAUAUGAGGCAACCUCCAGGGUAUGAAGAUCCGACUAGGAGACAAUAUGUAUGUAAAUUGGAUAAAGCUCUCUAUGGCCUGAAAUAG
RNAcentral lists this ribosomal RNA (330 nucleotides) under Triticum aestivum (bread wheat). Its description in RNAcentral is "partial small subunit ribosomal RNA". The record is from RNAcentral. Lineage: Eukaryota; Viridiplantae; Streptophyta; Magnoliopsida; Poales; Poaceae.